CCCGGAAGAUGCCAGCUGGCAGCAAUUCUGCCUCUUCCCUUUGCAGGGCCAGCAUUAACCCCUUAGAUGCUGAACUGUGGAGAGGCUCAGCACUAGACACAGAACCAAUAGUCUUCAUAGAUUGCAUCACCAGCUCUCACAUUUGUGUAAGGUCUAGCCCUUAGGAUAAUAAAUCUCUUAUUCUGUAUAAUGUGUGGCCAUUUUGCUACUUCGAUAAAACCAUGGCUGCUGUAAGUAUCUGUGUACAACACUGUCUUGUUGCCUUUGCAUUGUGAACGGUAUGUUAAGCCUCAUGGUAUCCACUGUCUUAGGUAGAAGGAGAAGACUGGUGAUUGGUGGUAGAAGAAAAGGAAGAGAUGCUUAGAAAGGUAAAAAGCUUAUGUAGGAAUCUCUCAGGAAAUCCUCAAUGCUAAAAAUGUCUGUGCUAGUUAUCAUUUGUUGCUUCUCAUCUCCAAAUCCA
This 460-nucleotide long non-coding RNA is filed under the name Homo sapiens (human). RNAcentral describes it as "HSALNT0092932". The record is from RNAcentral. Lineage: Eukaryota; Metazoa; Chordata; Mammalia; Primates; Hominidae.